RNAcentral lists this unclassified non-coding RNA (240 nucleotides) under soil metagenome. RNAcentral describes it as "partial contains 5.8S ribosomal RNA, internal transcribed spacer 2, and large subunit ribosomal RNA". The record is from RNAcentral.
AACAUCGCGCACCUGCGGGAACCUGCGGAAGGAUCGUUACAGAGUUGCAAAACUCCCUAAACCAUUGUGAACGUUACCUAAACCGUUGCUUCGGCGGGCGGCCCGGGUCCUUCCCGGCGCCCCUCGGCCCUCGCGGGCGCCCGCCGGAGGUAAACCAAACUAUUGCAUUGUAUGGCCUCUCUGAGUCUUCUGUACUGAAUAAGUCAAAACUUUUAACAACGGAUCUCAGAUCGGAAGAGC